This 404-nucleotide ribosomal RNA is filed under the name uncultured bacterium. RNAcentral describes it as "bacterial SSU rRNA". It matches the Rfam family "Bacterial small subunit ribosomal RNA", at positions 355 to 776 of the family's 1533-position model. The record is from RNAcentral.
UGGGGAAUAUUGCACAAUGGGCGAAAGCCUGAUGCAGCAACGCCGCGUGAGCGAUGAAGGCCUUCGGGUCGUAAAGCUCUGUCCUAAAGGAAGAAUUUUGACGGUACUUUAGGAGGAAGCCCCGGCUAAUUACGUGCCAGCAGCCGCGGUAAUACGUAAGGGGCUAGCGUUAUCCGGAAUUACUGGGCGUAAAGGGUACGUAGGCGGUUUAUUAAGUCAGGGGUGAAAGGCUACGGCUCAACCGUAGUAAGCCUUUGAAACUGAUAAACUUGAGUAUGGUAGAGGAAAGUGGAAUUCCUGGUGUAGCGGUGAAAUGCGUAGAUAUCAGGAGGAACAUCGAUGGCGAAGGCAGCUUUCUGGGCCAUUACUGACGCUGAGGUACGAAAGCGUGGGGAGCGAACAGG